Molecule: long non-coding RNA, 651 nt
Organism: Dama dama (fallow deer)
Lineage: Eukaryota; Metazoa; Chordata; Mammalia; Artiodactyla; Cervidae
Exons: 3
Source: RefSeq, a predicted model, not a curated record
UGCAGGUCCUCCACCUUCCUGCAGAGGAGAAAGGGGGCUGAGCAGGCUUCACCCAGAGGGGUCCGUCCGUGCUCCUGCUCAGUCGUGUCUGACUCUUUGCGACCCCCUGGACUGUAGCCCACCAGGCUCCUCUGUCCAUGGGAUUCUUCAGGCAAGAAUUCUGAAGUGGGUUGUCAUUUCCUUCUCCAGGGGAUCUUCCCGACUCAGGCACUGAACCUGUGUUUCCUGCAUUGCAGGUGGAUUCUUUACCCGCUGAGCCAUCGGGGAAGCCCAUAAGGGACCCCUACCCAGAGGGGUAGGCUUUGCCAAGUCAACAAUGGCAGAGAGAGCCAAGGCCACAAGAAGCCUCGAGUCCACAUUCAGAGUACCCAGAAGCUCGGAGACAGAGAGGCUCCUGGGCCUGAGGAGAACCUGGCCCUCGUGGGCUCUGAGCCCCGCCAGGUGUUCCAGGACCAAGUCAGCCCAGAGACCCCACACGGAGGGAACACAAACCCCAAUCGCCACCCUGGCAGGUCACAAAGAGCCAGCAGCACCACUAACAAGACUAGUGACCUCAGCUGCUGAGCCUCAGUUUCCUGACACGGGAAAUGGAAAUGAAGCUUCAGGACACAGGCUGCACGCUCCACUGGCAGGACCUGCCUGGAGCAGAGG